This 490-nucleotide ribosomal RNA is filed under the name uncultured bacterium. Its description in RNAcentral is "partial 16S ribosomal RNA". It matches the Rfam family "Bacterial small subunit ribosomal RNA", at positions 30 to 507 of the family's 1533-position model. The record is from RNAcentral.
AUUGAACGCUGGCGGCAGGCCUAACACAUGCAAGUCGAACGGUAACAGGAAACGGCUUGCUGUUUCGCUGACGCGUGGCGGGCGGGUGAGAGAUGUCUGUGAAACUCCCUGAUGGCGGGGGGUAACUCGUGGAAACGGUAACUAUAACAGCAUAUCGUCGCAACACCAAAGAGCAGGAGCCCUGGGCAUCUUGCCCUCGGGUGUGCCCAGAUGGGAUUAGCGUGUUGGGGGGGUAAAGGCUCACCAAGGCGACGAUCCCUAGCUGGUCUGAGAGGAUGAGCAGCCACACUGGAACUGAGACACGGUCCAGACUCCUACGGGAGGCAGCAGUGGGGAAUAUUGCACAAUGGGCGCAAGCCUGAUGCAGCCAUGCCGCGUGUGUGAAGAAGGCCUUCGGGUUGUAAAGUACUUUUGUUGGGGAAGAAGAGAGUAAGGUUAAUACCUUGGCUUAUUGACGGUACCCACAGAAGAAGCACCGGCUAACUCCGUG